Molecule: ribosomal RNA, 253 nt
Filed under: uncultured bacterium
Lineage: Bacteria
Description: partial 16S ribosomal RNA
Rfam family: Bacterial small subunit ribosomal RNA
Source: RNAcentral
UACGUAGGGUGCGAGCGUUAAUCGGAAUUACUGGGCGUAAAGCGUGCGCAGGCGGUUCGCCAAGUCAGGUGUGAAAUCCCCGGGCUUAACCUGGGAAUUGCGCUUGAAACUAGCGGGCUUGAGUGUGGCAGAGGGGGGUGGAAUUCCACGUGUAGCAGUGAAAUGCGUAGAGAUGUGGAGGAACACCGAUGGCGAAGGCAGGUCUCUGGGCUGACACUGACGCUCAUGCACGAAAGCGUGGGGAGCAAACAGG